This 1279-nucleotide long non-coding RNA is filed under the name Ananas comosus (pineapple). Its description in RNAcentral is "long non-coding RNA (ACOM_LNC036948)". Lineage: Eukaryota; Viridiplantae; Streptophyta; Magnoliopsida; Poales; Bromeliaceae. The record is from RNAcentral.
AAACCACACGGGGUGAGAACUACAAAAAUAUAGUUCCCAGUGGGUUCGGCCGCCGACUCCGCCGAUCUUCCCACUAGGUCUAAGCUGGCACAGAUAGAUAGAUAGAUAGAUAGAUAGAUAUUGAACUGCAACUAUGAUCUAUUGUGCCAUCAGAUGCAAGCAAUGCAUGAAUAUCAACUAGCAAUAAGCCUACUAUCAUGAUAAUAUGCUUCAACGAUGUAAUGAAUACAAAUACGACAUAGUUAGGCAAUCCACUAACAUAUACUAUGUCUAAUCAGGGUAUGAAUGCAAAUCCACUUAUGCUAUUCAUGUCAUUACCCAAUCCACUAGGCUACCCCGCCUAAGAUCUCAACCACAUAGGUGAAGGACUACCCCGCCCUUGUCUCACCCGUCUCACAACUCUAAUGCUACGGUAAAGAGCUACCCCGCUCUUCGCCCCAACUCUAACUCAAACUCAUAGGUCAAGAGCUACCCCGCUCGUAGGUAAAGAGCUACCCCGCUCCUAGGUAAAGAGCUACCCCGCUCAUAGGUAAAGAGCUACCCCGCUCAUAGGUAAAGAGCUACCCCGCUCAAAUCUCACAGGUGAAGAGCUACCCCGCCCUUCGCCCGACUCACUUCCCAGUCCAAUGGGUGGGGAGCUACCCCGCUCGUAUCCCACCCGAUGAGCUACCCCGCUCGUGAGCUACCCAGCUCGUGUGACAACUCCGGAGUGCACUGCUUGUGGGGAGCGACCGCCACAAGCCCAAAACAGACUAUGUGAGUAUGAUCCAAUCCUCGCCAACUGAGGAUACCCUGUCAACUAGGGUUAACAAGCACUCGAAAGUCCACCUAUCCCUAGGUCCAUGUCACGUGUCUCAACCAUAUCAAAUCUCAAUGCCACUUACCUAGGUCUAAGCAACUCUAGGUUCCACAACAGUAGGUUUAAUGUCAACCUAUGUUUAACAACAUUAUAUUAAUGCCACUCGAUCUAUCCUAGGUUCACGACACUAGGUUUAGAUGCCACAUAAUCUCCAUAAUUAACAAUAGGUUAACAUUCAUUUCAUCUAGCAUAUAUGUUCUAUAGAGCCAACAUACAUCAUAAUGCUAAUAUGCCAUUAUCAACUAGCAUGCAAUCCAUUCAUAAUGCUACAUGCAUACAAUCUCCAUUACUCUAGUUCACAUGUCACUAGUUUCAUUAUCAAGUCCAAGUUCUUUAUUCUCUUAUCAUCAUAGGAUCUCAUGUCUCAACCUUAAUCAUCAUGCAUUCUAGAUUUUAAGUGUCAAGUCUAUAAUACUACAC